GAUGAACGCUGGCGGCGUGCUUAACACAUGCAAGUCGAACGGACUUAUCAUGAAGCCCAGCGAUUGAUAAGUUAGUGGCGGACGGGUGAGUAACGCGUGGGUAACCUGCCUCACACUGGGGGAUAACACUUAGAAAUAGGUGCUAAUACCGCAUAAGCGCACGGUACUGCAUGGUACAGUGUGAAAAACUCCGGUGGUGUGAGAUGGACCCGCGUCUGAUUAGCUGGUUGGUGGGGUAACGGCCCACCAAGGCGACGAUCAGUAGCCGGCCUGAGAGGGUGAACGGCCACAUUGGGACUGAGACACGGCCCAA
Molecule: ribosomal RNA, 313 nt
Filed under: uncultured bacterium
Lineage: Bacteria
Description: bacterial SSU rRNA
Rfam family: Bacterial small subunit ribosomal RNA
Source: RNAcentral